RNAcentral lists this unclassified non-coding RNA (401 nucleotides) under Hevea brasiliensis (rubber tree). The record is from RNAcentral. Lineage: Eukaryota; Viridiplantae; Streptophyta; Magnoliopsida; Malpighiales; Euphorbiaceae.
AACCAAAAGCAACUGCCUCCAAAACUAAUCUCCUUAAGCUUGAAAAAGAUGUCAAAAUAACCUCAUCAUUCUCUAGCAAACCAUUCUUGUCAUCCCCAAAAAGUGCAAAGCUAUGCUUCUCAAUCAAAUUCACAGCCUCUUUAGAUUUCAGUUUUGCACAUCUCUGCAAUGUCUCAGCAUCAAAACCCAACACAUAGCACUUCAAUUUUUCACGCUUCCAGUCCUGCUCACUUGACUCUUGGCAUGAUAAGACAGAUUGCAUGUUGCUUAAAUGAUCAUAAGGUAAUGAGUCUGGAAACUGAAACAUGGUCCUACAACUAAGAUAAGGAUCAUGAUGGGGCACAGCUAGACAACGUUCCAGAUAAUGCCUCAAGGAUGCAGACUUCAAGAAGUAACCAUAU